UACGUAGGGGCCGAGCGUUGUCCGGAGUUAUUGGGCGUAAAGCGCGCGCAGGCGGCCUCGCGCGCCCGACGUGAAAGCCCCCGGCUUAACCGGGGAGGGUCGUUGGGGACGGCGGGGCUUGAGGGCGGGAGAGGGUGGUGGAAUUCCCGGUGUAGUGGUGAAAUGCGUAGAGAUCGGGAGGAACACCCGUGGCGAAGGCGGUUCUCUGGGCCUGUACUGACGCUGAGGAGCGAAAGCGUGGGGAGCGAACAGG
This 253-nucleotide ribosomal RNA is filed under the name uncultured bacterium. Its description in RNAcentral is "partial 16S ribosomal RNA". It matches the Rfam family "Bacterial small subunit ribosomal RNA", at positions 524 to 776 of the family's 1533-position model. The record is from RNAcentral.